RNAcentral lists this ribosomal RNA (361 nucleotides) under Enterobacter sp. 222S. Its description in RNAcentral is "bacterial SSU rRNA". It matches the Rfam family "Bacterial small subunit ribosomal RNA", at positions 1014 to 1375 of the family's 1533-position model. The record is from RNAcentral. Lineage: Bacteria; Pseudomonadati; Pseudomonadota; Gammaproteobacteria; Enterobacterales; Enterobacteriaceae.
GUGCCUUCGGGAACUCUGAGACAGGUGCUGCAUGGCUGUCGUCAGCUCGUGUUGUGAAAUGUUGGGUUAAGUCCCGCAACGAGCGCAACCCUUAUCCUUUGUUGCCAGCGGUCCGGCCGGGAACUCAAAGGAGACUGCCAGUGAUAAACUGGAGGAAGGUGGGGAUGACGUCAAGUCAUCAUGGCCCUUACGAGUAGGGCUACACACGUGCUACAAUGGCGCAUACAAAGAGAAGCGACCUCGCGAGAGCAAGCGGACCUCAUAAAGUGCGUCGUAGUCCGGAUUGGAGUCUGCAACUCGACUCCAUGAAGUCGGAAUCGCUAGUAAUCGUAGAUCAGAAUGCUACGGUGAAUACGUUCCC